AGCAUAUUGAGUUCCUCUAAUAUGUCUUACCCAUUACAGGUCUUUUGAGAAGCAUUACAACAUAGAGAGCUAGGAGGAAACCUCUGUUGCCAGGCUGUGUUUCGAUCCUGGCUCUACUGAGCCACAUGACCUUGGGCCAGCCAGCAGUCACUCUGGAAAGGGAAAAAUGUGCUUUAUAAAGUGGAGCACUGUGCUUAGUGAGGGAAACUCAGAUGCGCUGCUGUAGAUGCUUCUUUCCUUCUAAUAUGCUUACUCUCUGCCUCAGUUUCCACAUCAGUAAAUUAAGGAGGCUAAUAAUCCCUAUGUGAUAAGGUUAUGCAGAAGAUUAGAGGAGUUAAUAAUUCACAUAAAGCAUGUAAAAAAACAGUUCCUAGCACAUAGAAAGCACUAUAUGUAAUGGUUUGUUUUGUCCCUACUUUGAUCACUUAUUUUAAAAUACAGCAUGUGCAAUACAUUUUGUACAGUAUGAAAGGCAAAAAUAUUAAGUGACUUUUUGGGGUCAAGUUUUGAGACCAGUCCCAAGAUAUUUGUGGCAUUAGCAUCUAAAAUCUCUUUCAUAUUCUCUACAACUUUUCCAAACAUACUUAGUUUGCAAAAUCAGAUUGGACAUUGUACAGGAAUAGCUUUUCUCAUAAUAUUCCAGUACUUUUAGUUCUAUUCCAGCUGGAGCUGGAAAUACUGUUGCAUGCAGAAAUUUAAAAGUAUGUGAAAACAACAUGAUCCCAAUCUUAUUUUUUUACUCAUUUUCAGGAAAAUUGAUGGUUCACAUGUGAAAUAUAAGCAAAAUUGCUAGUUAUUUGCUAUCACCAGAGUAAAAAUUAGUCACCUUCCACCAUCUUGGGAGCUAUUCUGGUGUGUGGUUGUAAAAGAAAAACUAGAAAAAUUAUUAAAAAUAUGAUGUAUUUAAUCAUUGACCCUUUAAAUAUCAGUUGUGUACUCUCUUAUGUCAGGCAGUAUUCUAGAAAAAGGACUCACAGCCUAUGUCCUGCAGAGGAAGCUUACUUACAGGUGUGAGGAGACAGAAAAAUAAGUAAACAAAUAAAAUAAUUACAGAUUUUAUGGUGGGAAUUAUGGAAGAAAUGUACAGGGUGAUAGCUACUAGAUUAGUAGACAUGUGGAGAGAGAGCAUUAGGGUGAUAUGUGAAGGUUUGAUCAGAAACCCGAAAGACCAUAAGGCACAGAAUUUGGCGACAUGAUAUUAUGAAAAGCAGAGUAUAGAAAUAUCAACCAUAGAGAGUUAAAUUAUCAACAGUAUUUUUUUUGUGUGUGUGGCUCACCUUACAUAUAUAUAUUUUUCCCACCAGUAAAUGUGAUUUGGUUUAAAGGUAGUUAAAAUAGCUUAGACAAAGGUCAGCUGUUACCCACAAUGCAUAUUUCUUUCUCUCUUCCCUUUUAAUAUACAAGUAAUACUCAUUAUAAAAAAAUUUGGAAAAUAAAAAUUAUAAAUAAAAUUUACCCACAAUUCAAAAACUUAAAUGCAAAUGUUACAAAUAUGUUAGUCCAUUCCUAAAGCAGAGUUUUAAAAAAAUUCUGUUUGUGGUUAUCUAACCUCUGUGAAAUGAGGUUAAAUAAAGUAGGUAGCCCACUCUGAUUAGAAAAAAGAGAAGCAGAAGCAGAGGUCAUGUUGAUAUUCAGAGUUCACAUGGUAAUAAGCAUGUUUUGGUUUAAAAAUUAGAAUUGAUCACAAAAAAAUGUUGUAGUGGUCAGAUCAAUAGGGACAGGUAAAUGUUUUGAUUUCAAAUAUUGUCAAAUCUUAUCUCCCUAAGCAACUGAGCAAACAAACAAACCAAAAAGGCUAUAGUCCCACCCCAUUUUGGAAGUAGUAGCCUUGAAGGUAAGGGGCCAUUGAGAAACUAGCCUCAUUCUCAUAAACAGAAGCUAGAGUGGGAGGUGACAGUGGUGGCAGUGAAAUUGGUGGCCUGGACCUGCCAUAGUCCCAGCUGAGCCCCAGUCAAUGAGAAGACCACACUGAUGGAUGAGCCUAGAGGUUACAGCCUGCUUUUCAAGGUGAUAAUGAACUCACAGACUUCAGUACCACCUUCUGCUGGACAGUGUCAGGAUAUUAAUUGUUCCCUCCCAUAGCCCUGAAUGAAUACAAAGCCCUAAAUUGGUAAGGAAGUCUACUGGACUGAUAGGAAAUAUUUCUCAUUGCCUGGGAAAGGAAGAAUUGGUUAGAUGGUGUGAAAUUCAACCGUGGGACUCAUAUCUCUGGUAGGUUAUGCUGUUUCUAACAAAACCAUUGUGCACACUCAUAUCCUCUUUUACACCACCUUAACACAGAAUUCUGCUAAUGUAACUUACUAAGGUAAAUGUUUCACACAAAACCCAGUUUUGCAGACAUUUUAUUUUUUGAUGUUUUGAUUAUCACCUUUCACCUCACAGGGUUUUAGAGAGCUAGAAACUCUUUUUUUUUUCUUUUUUUGCAGUGCACAGACUUUCUGUUUCCCUCACUUUUCAUAUACAUUUUUGAAGAUGAUUGGCUAUGAAUCUAAUCUUGUUAGCACCAUGACCUUUCCACCACCAAGUUGUAAGAACUACCUGUUAGACCACUGCAUAAUACCAUUAGGAAGUAAAAGGCAUGGGGUAUAUGAAGUUAUCAGGCAAAAUAGUAUUUGUUCCCUAUUGAUAUAUAUCUAACAAAACAUUAUAUAAAAUACUUUCUACCUGCUUUAAA
This is a long non-coding RNA of Acinonyx jubatus (cheetah), 2674 nucleotides long. RefSeq lists it as uncharacterized. The transcript is spliced from 3 exons. Lineage: Eukaryota; Metazoa; Chordata; Mammalia; Carnivora; Felidae. The record is from RefSeq and is a predicted model, not a curated record.